This 253-nucleotide ribosomal RNA is filed under the name uncultured bacterium. RNAcentral's name for it is "partial 16S ribosomal RNA". It matches the Rfam family "Bacterial small subunit ribosomal RNA", at positions 524 to 776 of the family's 1533-position model. The record is from RNAcentral.
GACAGAGGAUGCAAGCGUUAUCCGGAAUGAUUGGGCGUAAAGCGUCUGUAGGUGGCUUUUUAAGUCUGCCGUCAAAUCCCAGGGCUUAACCCUGGACAGGCGGUGGAAACUACCAAGCUGGAGUACGGUAGGGGCAGGGGGAAUUUCCGGUGGAGCGGUGAAAUGCGUAGAGAUCGGAAAGAACACCAACGGCGAAAGCAGUCUGCUGGGCCGACACUGACACUGAGAGACGAAAGCGAGGGGAGCGAAUGGG